CCUUUAAUCUCACGCUCGGACUUUGGAAGACCAGAGAAGCGGGAGAGACAGAUAAAGCACCAGUGACAGAGAGGGAGAGAAAAACAGUGGAAGAGGAAAUGGUGGUCUCGCAGAUUUAACUCAUAAGACGGAGUUUGUUAUUUUCUGGUGAAAGCGUCGAAAGGGAAAAGUGAUUUUCAGAAUGACGACCGGAAUGGUGCAAGACCAGAAUCUGGAGAAGCAGAUAGAGAAACAAAUGGGUUGCAUGGCUGGAUUCCUUCAUAUCUUCGAUCGUCAUCAGAUUUUGGCCGGAAAACGCCUCUACUCGGCCAAGCGCCUCCCUCCAUCGGUCGGCAACUCAACUCCACCGCCGGAGAAUGCCGUUCCGUCUAUGGAGACAUCCGCGGAAUUGGAAAAACCACAGCAAACUAGAACAACGCCUUCUCCGGACCGAGCGAAGCAUUUCGCUCCGGUGCCGGAACCAGUAACCCCUGUGGAAAGCAAGCCCAAACAGCCCCUUCCUCUUCCAAUUUUUGAGUACAAGGAAGGAGCUCGGUCUUUAUGGAAGUUCUCUCGAGAAGCCCCACGGCUUUCGCUGGAUAGCAGAGCCAUUGUUGAUGGUAAAGGUAGCAUAUAUCCUAGGGAGAUCCGUACCAACGCUUCUAUUCUGUCUGCUAACCGCAGUGAAAGCUCAACCGAAGAAGGAGACGAACAGCGUCGGUCUCCGAGCGUCAUUGCUAGAUUAAUGGGGCUUGAACCAUUGCCGAACUCGGAACCAGAACCAAUCAAAAAGGCCGAGCUCCGAAGAUCGGCUUCUGAAUCCAGAGUCUCUAAAGAGUUCUACCAGAAUCGCUUCAUCGACGGUAACAAUUUCAGACUUAAGAAAUCUCAACAUUCGAGCUCACAGGACAAUACUGCGAGCAGUCUACUUGUGAAGAAUGCAGCAAACGUGGACCACAGUUCAGACGCCAGAGUGCUAGACAGGGACGAAUUUGCAGCCAGAAGUACUAAGGCUGAGUCCGCUAGGGCACACAGAGGAUUGGGACCUAGAAAGAUUUUCUUCGAUUCGGCGGACGUUUUUCCAGAGCCGAAGCAGACCGCAUCAUUCUACGGAGAGAUAGAGAAGAGGUUGAGGAUGAGAGGAAUUGAUGAACCUACAAAAGAUUUGGAAACCGUAAAACAAAUCCUAGAAGCACUACAACUCAAAGGACUUCUUCAUUCCAAGAAGCCCCCGAACCAGAAGAACUUCGUCUAUGACCGUACUUCGCAAACCGAAUCUCCGAUUGUGGUGAUGAAGCCCGCUAGAUCACCAACUUCGGCCAAUCGCUUAGGAAGAAUCGGUAACGAGUCGCCACCUUCGAGUUACAGAUCAAGACCAGUCGGCCGCCGAAAUGUUAACGUUACUGGUGAAACCAUGCCGAGCGCAACCUCGAGGCGUGAUCGUUUGGAGUUUGAUCGGAAUAUACGGAACCAAAACAGAGGUAGAUACUCGAGUUCACCGACUAGAAGCGACAGUAAUGUGAAAAGUGGAUUGUUCAUUGAAACGCAGAGAAGAAUCAGCGAUCCCGUGGAUCAGAGGAGACCUUAUCCGGUUCAAUAUUCGAAGAUUAAUUCAUCCAAAAUCGGACCAGAUCCCCAAAUCACAAACCGAUCCCCAAGGAACAGGAAACCCACGGCUUCUGUUCAUCCAAAAGAACGCAAGAUUUACGUACCUCAAGCAGAGGACGAGUCAUCCACCUUCUCAGAGAGCAGCAUAAGCAACUCUUCACAAACGGAUACAGAGAGGACGAACAAGGUCGAGGAGUACAAGGAGGGGCGGAGUCUACUGGAGAGGUGCGAUAGACUUCUUCACAGCAUAGCAGAGAUCACAGCGCCCGAGUUGCAACCGAGUCCUGUCUCGGUACUUGACUCGUCUUUUUACAAGGAGGAGUCGUCACCAUCGCCUGUACUAAAACGGCAAAUAGAUUUCAAAGACCAAGUGGUUGAUGUGGAAGAAGAUGCAUGGUUUCAAGCUAUCUCAUCGGUUGAAUCGAGUUUGGCUGAUCGAUCCGACGACUGUGAUUUUGUCUAUGUUAUGGAUGUUCUCCGAGCCUCCCAUUGGUUGCAAGAUGACUCCGACGUAUUCCUAUUGUUAGAGGAGCAACAGUAUCUGAAAGGGAAGGACAUCUCCAAGGUCUCAAGGCUUCAAAGGAGGCUAAUUUUCGAUACUAUAAAUGAAAUUCUCGAUCGCAACAGGCAAUUGCCACCGUGGAAAUCCAGCGCGCAGCCAGAAUCCAUGGCCGAGCCAUCUUCAGUGCAAGAGAUCUGGUCCGAGUUUCAGCAAAUCAAGGACCGGGAAGACACAUCGGAUGACUUGUUUAAGGUCAUCUGCAGUGUCUUAAGAAAGGACCUGACAAGGGAUGCCCCUACUGGAUGGAGGGACUGGCCAGUCGAAACAUCCCAAGCAGUUUUGGACAUCGAGAGACAAAUAUUCAAAGACUUGAUCGGCGAAACCAUCGUGGAUCUCGCUGCCUUCCCCGGAAAGUGCAACCCAAAUAACAUGAAUAACAUGCCUCGUAGAAAGCUGGUAUUCUGAAAGGCAAGGCAAAGUUUCUUAAUUCUUUUUUGUUUUCGGCGCUGAUAGUUCCUCCCCCCACCUAAUUAUUUUUAGAGAAAAAAAUGCUAAUUUAAUGGUCUGUUGUGGGGGGAGAUCUAAGAAGAAUAGCAAUUUGAUGUGUAUAAAAUAUGCAUUUAGUCAUAAAAUAGUGAAGUGGGAGGAGCAGAAAAGAGGGGGGUGAGUGGGGUUGCUGUAGCAGUUCAUGUGAGAAAGUGUUUGAUAAUUAAAAAUUCCUCAUGGGAAAAAGUAGAAAGUGACCUUAAAAGCAGGGACUGGGACUGGGACUGCGAGAUUUUUAGCCUUAAAAGCAAAGCUGAAUUCAUGUGCGUUUCUGUCUCUCAUUUUGAGCACUUAAUCAUUCAAAACUGAGUCAUUAAAAAUUGCUCUGAAAAUUAUGGACGCCAUUCCUCUGGGCUUGUCUUUAACUUUACAACGCCCAAUUAUUUGUUACACCUCAGAUCUCACCUGCUCCCAACGCUUUUUAACUAUUACUACUGUAAAAAUGCUGAAGGAAAGAAAAUAACAGUAAAAAAAAAGGUAGAUCAGAAUAUUCGGACUGGACUUCCUUCGAAAAUUAUUAUUACCACGAGGUUACAGCAGAAAAGGAAACAAAGCACCUGAAUUCCAACGAAGCUUUGGGUUGCUGUUUCAAGUUGUGUUGAUUAGAUUGAAUUAUUCUUAUAGCUCAACAGAUGAAAAGGGCUCGCCGUUCUUCUUUUUCUUCCGUUUUGGUGUUUUCUGACCAAUGAUGGUGCAUGGCAGACCUCCAAUAAUAGUGCAUGAAAUUAGAGGGAUUGAAGAAUGAAGACAGAGGAGAUGGAUCGGCAAUGGGCGAAAGGCGAAUGGGGCAUUAGGUGACUGAGAAUGAGAUUGUCCAAAAUGUGUCUCAGUGGUGACGCCCCGCCCAAGAGUUGAUGGAUGAGCUCACCUAACAAUGGAAGCUUUCUGCUUCCUGCUAUGCAAUCCAUUACUAGUUUGUCUCCCUCUCCGGGUAAAAGUAUUUAUAAGCAAAAAAAAGCUAAAACCAGAGAGUCUGAGAAAACCAAUGGAAACAUGGGGUCCUUGUCGACGCAGAAGGGCGCCAUCUUAUCUGCGUAUGCAUUGAAUAAUGCGAAUUAACGUCACUGGCAGUUGCACAUGUUGCUUCUGCAAUCCCACUCUCUCCUCCAGCGCCAAAUUGUUACAUCAAUAAACAGAGCUUCUUCAGAGAAAACUGGCUGGUAGGUACGUUUUGUGAAACCAAGCACUCUUUAAUUAUGUGUCCRUUGCUGUUCCUUCUCGUCUUUGUGGCCAUUGCUCCAUUUCUGCAUCGUACUCAAUCAUUGUCCCCUUUCUUUCAUGGACCUUUUUUUUUAGCCAGAUGAUAAUUUUGUCAAUGGCUGUCAAUAUUAAUGCGUUGUUCUCAGUAAAUGAUCCGCCUGUAGGUUUAGGUGAAAAAGAGACGAACAUGACAGCCAAUAAACGCCGUAUAGAGCUUAGUUUUUGCUCAGAUCGAGGCCACUAAGUCUUGCGCACCAUCUGUUUGAUGAAUUGAUUCAACGAAGUGAAAAAGUUUGGAGUUGAUUUCUGAACACACCACAAAUCAGCUUUGGCUGCUCCCUUCCACGAUAAUUAUUCCAAUCUUUCUUCAAUGGAAGAUAUUAAAUUAGAAUAGUUUUGGGCUUUCAGACAUUACAUUUACAGCUACCCACUGUCACACCUUCAAUCCUUUAUUCAUAACUAAUACAGUAGUAAAUUGGUCACAACUAACUCCCUCAUUCUCUUGCCGUUUUUUAGUGCUAUUAUGGCAGACUGCGGAGUAAUAUUGCAAACCCUGAAACUUCCCCACAAGAUUUAGUUGGAACAACCUCUCAUGCUCCCCCUACCCAGAAAAAAACUUCUUUUUAUUAGUACAACAUGUGGGAUGAAAGAUUGAAUUCACAUGCCAAUUACGGUUGAGUUAUAUUCACUUUGACCAAAAAAAAAAACUUCUAGUUUAAGCCUUUAUUUUCACUCCACUUGUAUUGCAUAUAGCCCCAAAUAUCAAUGUCAUAUCCCACAAGCACAUUCUAUAAGCUCUAAAGAUAAAACUCAAAAUCUGGCAUAGGAAAAUAAAUUAUAGUUACAGGGCUCUAUGAACAUUUAAAACGGAAAGUUAAGCCAUGUUCAUAACAGGACUCUACCCUCCUUGGUAGAGAGGAGCACGGCC
This is a non-coding RNA of Momordica charantia (bitter melon), 4763 nucleotides long. The record is from RefSeq and is a predicted model, not a curated record. Lineage: Eukaryota; Viridiplantae; Streptophyta; Magnoliopsida; Cucurbitales; Cucurbitaceae.